ACCUGUAUUCACCCCUGUACAAGCACUUAGGUACAAGAUAAUACAAACACUCUCUCCUCCGCUGGACGUAGGGCCUUCUCUUGCCUGAACCAGGAUAAAUUUUUGUGUCUUUUCUUGCAUCACCAUCUGGAAAGGGGAGCACGCACUAGUUUUACUCGUUGGUGUGCCCCCCGGGGGGAAAACACCGACAGCUGGUCUAUUUGAGCUCCACAGAAUUUAAGAAUCAAGAAGACUAGCAGACGGAGAACAUUGUAAUCGCUGUCAGGAUAUUGCCGACUUUUAAAUAUACCUCUGCCACCUGCUAGCUAGAUCAGAAGAAAUUACGUCAAAAUUCAGCUUGGGGGAGAGCACUUCCAUUUAUCUCGCUAAGUAUUUCUAUCUAUCUUUAUACUUAUACUAUAUUAAAAUAUAAAUAUAUAUAACUAUAAAAAACCAAAUAAAGAUUUUGUGCUUAUAUAUAUAUAUCUUUUGAUUAGUUUGCUUAAUAAAUAAAUAAAGUGGCUAUGCUAAACUGAAUCUUAAUAAUAAAACUCUAGAAUGAAUAUGAUGAAUAGUUGCUCUGUCUAAUUUUCAAUUUUGAGUUCUCUCUCAAGUUGAGACAUAACUGUUAUAAUUUAAAGCUUACUCUAAACCUGAACUUGUGGGAAGAGAACUUGAUCUGAAGUCUAAGUUGUUAACGGAUACGAUAUGGGAAGGUUGAGCUGCUGUUUAUCUAUUCCUAGAGAUGCUAAAAUUCUAGAGAAUUUUAUCUUUCAAAAUCUUUAAAAUAUUGCAUGAUGAGUUCCAGUAUGAUGAGAGUUUAAAUUCCUACCACAGCCAUAUAUACAUGCUUGCUAGACUUUGAGCCACACAUUUAUUUUUUUUUACUACUUAUGAGCAUUGAGUAUGGUCAAGCUGUGUAAACCCUAAGGAGCUUGUCAUGUGGUUAAAUCAAGAUUCACUUGCACGUUCACUCACUCAUGCUGCUUCUACUCUGGAAGUACGCAUACUCACUCAUGCUGCUUCUACUCUGAAGUACGCAUCCACAUAUAUCCACCCAUUUCCAUGUCCAGAACUACCCAAAAAUAUUCUACUCCUAAUCCAGGAGAGAAUAGCCAGAAACAUUUCUGCAUUUCCCCUGUAAAAUAAAUGCUCGAGUUAUCUUGAUUACUACCACUUGCUAUUUUAUUUCAAGAGAUGAGUGCUCUAAAAAAAGAUAAAAAGAAAAGAUACAAGGAAAUAAAAAGGGGCAAGUGCCCGGUAGCUCGAAAGAAAAGAAAAAGUUAGACGAGAGGUAAAAAUGGACAAGUGUCCGACAGUAGAAUUAGGGGUACAAAAUACCCACCAUAGAGGAAAGAAAAAGAAAAUAUAGAGCAUCUCAUCCUCCUCAAGUUUCAAAAGAGCAAGAAAGGUAUGUAUCCCCUCAAAAGAGCAAAAGUAGAAUUAGACUUUCACCAUUGUUAUCACCAUCAUCACCACACACCAUUCAUUCGCCACACAUGGACAUCUUCAUUUGACUUAUUGGCUUGUUUCUUUGGAUCCAUGGUUUGACUAUGCAAUAAAUGUCUUGUGAGUAUGUAUACUUUAUCUCCCAGCUAUGGGCCCCAUAUAUAGAAGCCUUACUAGAGUAGGAUGAGAGAGAAGGCAAUGUCACUAUGCCUUAUAUCAUAAAUACUACAUAUUUUGAGAGAAGGCAUAUACCAUCACUGCCUUGGUAAGGAUCCAGAAAUACCACAAAAG
RNAcentral lists this long non-coding RNA (1719 nucleotides) under Sorghum bicolor (sorghum). RNAcentral's name for it is "long non-coding RNA (SBIC_LNC008896)". The record is from RNAcentral. Lineage: Eukaryota; Viridiplantae; Streptophyta; Magnoliopsida; Poales; Poaceae.